The sequence is a transfer RNA, 85 nucleotides long. It matches the Rfam family "tRNA". From Rfam's summary of the family: Transfer RNA (tRNA) molecules are approximately 80 nucleotides in length. Their secondary structure includes four short double-helical elements and three loops (D, anti-codon, and T loops).
CCUUCGAUAGCUCAGUUGGAAGAGCGCGAGACUGUAAUGGAUACAUACCAUCUUGAGGUCGCUGGUUCGAUCCCGGCUCGAAGGA